AUUUAACAUUUUAUUCAACCCAUAACCAUGGAUUUUUUAUUAUCUAUAAAUAGCCAAUGCCAUCAAAAGGCAAGCCCACUCCCCACCUUCUUUUUAGUGAUGGAGUCUCACUAUGUAGCCCAGUCUGGCUUUGAAAUCCUAGGCUGCAGGGACCAUUCCACUUCAGCCCCCCAAGUAGCUGGGAUUUACAGAUAUGCCUCACCAUGCACAGGUAGAGGCCUCUUUUUUUUUUUUUUUGAGACGGAGUGAAUGAAGAAUAAGCUGCUAUCAAUAGUAUGUUUGGAACAAUUACAUAAGAUAAUACUUUCAAAAAAGUUGAGAAAACACUACUUCCAUACAGCCUGAAGUGGAACCUACUAAGAUGUGCUACAAGUGAUGGUGGUAAAGGAAACGUUGUAGUGAGGCACAUUUGCAAAGCAUAUGAAAAUGUAAGAUGCUUAAAGCCUGUGGUUAUUCGCUGUAAUAACCAUCAGUAAGUACACUGUAAAGAAUAUUUUAAUUUAUCAUGUGUUAUUGAACCAGUGUGUCAACAGUGAACUUCAUUUGCAUCUCGUGGUCUUAAUAUUGUCAAUGCUUUGAACUGAAUGUUUAUGUACCCCCAAAAUUCAUAUGCUAACCCCUAAUUCCAAUAUGAUGGUAUUUGGUGGUGUGGCCUUUGGGAAGUAAUUAGGUCAUGAGGGUGGAUCUUUGUGAAUGAGAUUAGUAUCAUUAUAAGAAGAGACACAGAGAGCUUGCUUUUCUCUGCUCUCUGUCUUGUGAAAAUAUGAGAAGAUAGCCAUCUACAUCUUGGGCUUUCCAGUCUCCAGAACUGUGAAAAAUACGUGUUUGUUGUUUAAGCUACCAGUCUGUGUUAAUUUGUUGUAGCAGACUGAACUAAAACAGUUUUUGUUAGAAAUAGAAGUUGAAUAUCCUGACUUGUCCUACCAUACAGCAGUUCAUUGACAUAGUGGUGGCAAAGAGAUGUUAAGAUUUUCUUGAGCUCAGGGCUGAGAUAGAAAAUUUUCUGAACAUGCCUUCAAACACAUGUAAUAAUUAAACUUUCUGUGUCAACUUGGAUAGGCUAUGGUGUCCAGUUCUUUGUUCAAACACUAGCCUAGAUAUUGCUCUAAGGGUAUCUUGUAGAUAUAAUUAACACUUAUAAUCAACUGACUUUAAGUAAAGUAGAUUACCCUUGAUGAUAUGGGUAGGACUCAUCCAAUUAGUCAAAAGCCUUAAGAGCAAAGACUGAGAUUUCCUAGAAAAGAAAGUAUUCUGCCUCAAGACUGUAACAUUGAAAUUCUGCCUGAGUUUCCAUCCUGCUGACCUGCCCUACAAAUUUCAGACUUGUCAGCCCCACAAUUGUGUGAGCUAAUUCCUUAAAAUAAAUCUUUUUAAAAAACUUUUAUUUUAAGUUUA
This 1395-nucleotide long non-coding RNA is filed under the name Piliocolobus tephrosceles (Ugandan red Colobus). RNAcentral describes it as "lncRNA (ENSPTEG00000022884.1)". The record is from RNAcentral. Lineage: Eukaryota; Metazoa; Chordata; Mammalia; Primates; Cercopithecidae.